UACGUAGGGUGCGAGCGUUGUCCGGAUUUAUUGGGCGUAAAGGGCUCGUAGGCGGCGUGUCGCGUCGGGAGUGAAAGCCCGUUGCUUAACGGCGGGUUGGCUUUCGGUACGGCAUGCUGGAGUGCGGCAGGGGAGACUGGAAUUCCUGGUGGUAGGCGGUGGAAUGCGCAGAUAUCAGGAGGAACACCGGUGGCGAAGGCGGGUCUCUGGGCCGUUACUGGACGCUGAGGAGCGAAGCGUGGGGAGCGAACAGG
Molecule: ribosomal RNA, 254 nt
Filed under: uncultured bacterium
Lineage: Bacteria
Description: partial 16S ribosomal RNA
Rfam family: Bacterial small subunit ribosomal RNA
Source: RNAcentral